GGAUGCGCAGCUUACACAUGCAGUCGAGCGCACUCUUCGGAGUGAGCGGCGGACGGGUUAGUAACGCGUGGGAACGUGCCCUUCUCUAAGGAAUAGCCACUGGAAACGGUGAGUAAUACCUUAUACGCCCUUCGGGGGAAAGAUUUAUCGGAGAAGGAUCGGCCCGCGUUAGAUUAGAUAGUUGGUGGGGUAAUGGCCUACCAAGUCUACGAUCUAUAGCUGGUUUUAGAGGAUGAUCAGCAACACUGGGACUGAGACACGGCCCAGACUCCUACGGGAGGCAGCAGUGGGGAAUCUUGGACAAUGGGCGCAAGCCUGAUCCAGCCAUGCCGCGUGAGUGAUGAAGGCCUUAGGGUCGUAAAGCUCUUUCGCCAGAGAUGAUAAUGACAGUAUCUGGUAAAGAAACCCCGGCUAACUCCGUGCCAGCAGCCGCGGUAAUACGGAGGGGGUUAGCGUUGUUCGGAAUUACUGGGCGUAAAGCGCACGUAGGCGGAUCAGAAAGUAUAGGGUGAAAUCCCAGGGCUCAACCCUGGAACUGCCUUGUAAACUCCUGGUCUUGAGUUCGAGAGAGGUGAGUGGAAUUCCGAGUGUAGAGGUGAAAUUCGUAGAUAUUCGGAGGAACACCAGUGGCGAAGGCGGCUCACUGGCUCGAUACUGACGCUGAGGUGCGAAAGUGUGGGGAGCAAACAGGAUUAGAUACCCUGGUAGUC
RNAcentral lists this ribosomal RNA (710 nucleotides) under Phaeobacter sp. RNAcentral describes it as "bacterial SSU rRNA". It matches the Rfam family "Bacterial small subunit ribosomal RNA", at positions 38 to 795 of the family's 1533-position model. Lineage: Bacteria; Pseudomonadati; Pseudomonadota; Alphaproteobacteria; Rhodobacterales; Roseobacteraceae. The record is from RNAcentral.